CAGUAUAGAGACAUCUGAAGAAUAGGAAGAUGUAUGUGGCUGAGAAUAGUUAGUUCAUUCAUAUUUGCCAUUGGUAGCUACAGUAGGCAAUUGUAUGCUCGAUUAUAUAAAUGGAUGAAACUUCUUGCCUAUCACUUUAGAGAGCCUGCUUUGGAAAGUAAUGAUUUGAGGUUUCUGAUCCGUAUUUCCUGAUCACUAUAGUUACUAAUUGAUGUCAGUAUCUCAUGUCAAGAAAGUCUCCAGUUGU
RNAcentral lists this long non-coding RNA (247 nucleotides) under Oryza brachyantha (malo sina). RNAcentral's name for it is "long non-coding RNA (OBRA_LNC003635)". Lineage: Eukaryota; Viridiplantae; Streptophyta; Magnoliopsida; Poales; Poaceae. The record is from RNAcentral.